CUUGAUCUAAAUGUCAUAACGACUCUCGGCAACGGAUAUCUCGGCUCUCGCAUCGAUGAAGAACGUAGCGAAAUGCGAUACAUGGUGUGAAUUGCAGGAUCCCGUGAACCAUCGAGUUUUUGAACGCAAGUUGCGCCCGAAGCCGUCAGGCCGA
RNAcentral lists this ribosomal RNA (154 nucleotides) under Urera caracasana. Its description in RNAcentral is "5.8S ribosomal RNA". The stretch from base 21 to 154 matches the Rfam family "5.8S ribosomal RNA", at positions 1 to 132 of the family's 154-position model. Rfam says of the family: 5.8S ribosomal RNA (5.8S rRNA) is a component of the large subunit of the eukaryotic ribosome. It is transcribed by RNA polymerase I as part of the 45S precursor that also contains 18S and 28S rRNA. Lineage: Eukaryota; Viridiplantae; Streptophyta; Magnoliopsida; Rosales; Urticaceae. The record is from RNAcentral.